ACACCUCCCACAGCCCUCACUCCCAAUUUUCCAGGACAGGUGGGGCCGGGGUCAUCCCCCGCUCCAUCCUGGCUGAGGAGGUGACUGACAAACUUGUGUGCUCCCAUCCGCGAUGCUCAGCGCUGAAGGGGCUGCAAUCUGGCAGCCCCUUGGAGCAUAAUUACCUAAAAGUUUGUCAAAACCAGAGGAUUCCACUGGAAUUUUACUUAAAUCUGAUAAAGUAGAAGCUGAAAUGUGAGCUAUUGAUAUCUGUUGAAGGCCAACCCAUGAGAAAAUGUCCGCUAAAGGACUCCUUCUAACCCUAAAAUGACCCUAAAUGGUGCUGUAGAUUAAUUUUUUUCAUGGUACAUGUGUCUGAGUCCUAAAUGUCUGCUCAAAGGAUAAUAAAUACAGUUGUUCAAAAAUGUAACUAAUUGGUCAUUCCAGUGCAGUUACUGCCAUACUUGUGUUUGUUUUUCUAUUUGUAUUAGGGUAGCAAGAAAAAACAUCCCUUUAUUAUUGCUCAUUUAUCAUUAGCACACACUGAGAUAGCUUUAAUCAAGUAGGUUAGUGGAUAUUUAAGCCAGACAAUCCCUGUGUUUAGGACUUUUUAGUUUUAUUCUAAAUGGCUUCAUGGACUGUGUGUAAACCGCUGUUCACUGCAGUGUGGGCAGCUACAGGUCCCUCAAUGGGCCAUUGUGGCCAACUGACCGAAGCCCAGGAGGACAGGAAGGGGAAAUUUGAGUUAAAUAUUAAUCACUAUUACAGAACUGGUUCUGCUCAGUCUCUGUGCUGGGAGAACAGCGAGAGGGUCAGAUCUUGGUGCCAUGAAGUAUAACUCUACAUUAUGUCUAUCCUUUUAAAGCCUGGAGUGGUCUUUUAAAGUAAGAGCUGGUGUUGUAAAUUAAAAUCAUCUCCUGCUGUACUGAUCCCCAUCCAUGAGCAAUCAAAAUUUCAAAAACAGCCCAUAGAGAUACAAAUUUUCUAAAUUGUGUUAACAAAUUUGAUCUUAAAAUGUUACAUAUGGAUUCACCUCAAGUCAGCAGAAUUUGUUUAAUAUAUAUUAAUAUAUUUAAUAUUUGUUUGUUGGGGUUUUUUUCCCCUUAACUAUACUUCUUUACAGCUCUGGGCAGUUCUCUAAAUUAUGGGAGUCAUGGAGCCAAUAUAUUUCCCUGUCCCAUAGAAUCAGUUUCAAUUUCAUUAUACCGUGCAGAAGCUUUAGGAGAACAAGUACUACAAGGGAAUACACAAAAGCAAACAAAACUGCUUUAUUUCUUAUAAAUUUUAAAAGCUGUGUGUGUUACUUUCUAAAAAAAGUCAAAAUGCAUUUUUUGGGGGGAUUUCCAGGAGUCUCCCUAACAUUUUUGAAGACUUGGUGGCUCCACCCCAAGAGAUGUAGUCUCAGAGUGGAAUGCAAAAGUGUGCCCUUUCCUGAAACAGAGUUCACAUUGAAAAUUGUUCCACAGGUUAUUUCUUUCCCUUUGUAGUCAAAUCAGUGCAAGUUCACUGUGGAUGCACCAAGCUGCCAGAUGCUGGUCUGAUUCAUCCCCUGCAAUAUCCAGCAUCUGAUAUAAUGCCUAUUGUAAUUCCCACAUUUCAUGUGUUGUUUCUGAUGGCCCAGCACAGCCCCACAGCCUUGUGCUGGCAGAGAGGUCUUCACAUGAGGUUCAUUUAUUUAUUUCUAAUCUACAUAGUUCAAGUGAACUACAUGAAAUAUCCCCCUUCACCUCCCGUCUGGAAGGUGCUGUAACUCUCCUGAAAAUCCUCCUUUCCCUGCUCAGCUCCCAGGCGAUCAGAUCCAUGUCUCCAUACCUGCAUCAUCGCAUUUGGAUGCUGCUGCUGCAGCAGUUUCUCUCAUCUUACCUGUUCUGUCUGUUCCCUCUGGUCACGCCAACGUUUAUUUUUACACUAGUUCCCACACAGAAGCAAGUGUACUACUGACUGCCUUCUCUCCCCUUUUCAGAUUCCAGGUGGAAAAGCACACUGGAACUCCACCCAAUUUAAUUUACUCAUGAGUAUCUUUUUGCCCUAUUUGACUUGGACAUCCUCACCCCUUCCUUUUCCCUAGGAAAACCACUCGUAAGUCUCUGCCUUAAAAACAAGUCUUGCACACCUGGACCCCACUGCCUAAAGCUGUUCCUCAACCCUCUCUCAGACCCCUUAGAAAGAUUUUCUGAGGUUUUUUCCCCAUUUACAUGAACAGUUCAGGUUUUGCUUGCAUUAUUGGAUUUUUCUCCAUGACAUAAUCCCAUUAUGAGGAAUAUAUAGAUUAAACAUGACAAAGAAAAAUGCUCAAGUUCUCUAAACUCAUUUGAAUUAUAGAAGCAGCUACUGCCUCCCUGGCCCUGAUGACCUCCCAGUCUCAUUCUGUGCAUGACAAGUAGGUACUUGGGUCUAGAUUCCCAAAUUAAACUGUGCAUGGAAUUGGGCUACGCUCUGUGGCACCCUACGCUUUGUGGCACCCCCAUGCAAGUCAUCAGCUGGCUGUGAUUUAAAACUCCAAUCUAAAAGAUGGAAAAAUUUCAGCCCUGUCCCUGUGUCUGUUACAACCUGCUAAAUUAUAAUGCAACUGAAAUGUAAUUACUUUUCAUCCUGCACAGAGAACACAAAACAUGAAUUCACUAGUUUACAGUAAACCACAAUAAAUUUAAUUAAAGUGGCCUCAUCUAAAACACAUACAAGUACAAUAAAGUUAUUUUAUUUUGGUUCUCAGAAUAAUUCCUCCACAAUAAGUUAGUCUUUUUUUUUUUUUUCUUUUAUUAUCCUGAAUUAAACCCUUUAACUGAAAGAAAAAAAAAUUGACUAAAACAAGUUUGAGGGUGUUGUAAUAGCAUCUGGAUCAACUCAAAAUUUUAAUUUUUUUUAAAAAAUUAAAAACAUACCAUUAGCUGAAGCAUUCACCUCAUGCAUUCACUAUUGGCUCUCUUUUUGCCUGGUUUGUCCCCAGCCAAGUGGCAUUUUUUUGUCCAAUAUUUAAUAAUAAAGAGGCAGAGAAAUAACCCAGGAAACAACUUGCAUCACACCCCUCCUCCCAAACCCCCCUAAUUUUCACUGGUCCUUUGGUAAAAGAUACAACAAGUUUUAGGAAAAGGGAGCUUUUCAGUUCACUGAAAAUCUAUUUAGCAAAGCCCUGUUGGGGUGUUGGGAUAGGAAAAGUGAGUACUGAUGCCAAAGUGCCUGCAGGGAAAAUAUUUUGUCACUCACACACCAAUAUCUCCCGGACUCCAUUAGAACAAUAUUUAUAAAGGCAGCUGCUGCUCCUAAUGAUACCUUGAAAGUCCAUGGUUUUAAGGAGACAAAUCAGCUGGGAGUUUGACAUUUCACAGCUUUUGCUGCAAACUGUCUCUUUGCAAGAUUCUGCAGGGUUAGAAAGUGAUUUUUCCUUCUUGUGCUCAGCCGCUCCUGUGGAGGCUCAGCCUUUCCACAGGCAGCAUAUUGUGGCUCCUGUCAGCCCAGUUUAGGCAAGUACAGGAACUCCAGUGCAACUCAGGAACUCUAGUUCUCUGCAUUGCCAGAUUUGUUCAUUCCUGGAGCAUUUCCCAGAAAUCUGUGCUGGACAGAUGUAGUUCAAAUUCAGGUCAGCUACUUUUUUAGCUGGGAUUACUGUUGAUUUAGUGCACACAUUUCUUCUCUGGAAAGGAUCUCAGAUACCAUGAUCCAAACAGCACUAAAUUGCCAGCACCCAAUUCUACCAGCUGAUUUCCCACUGGAGUUCAGGUUUCUCCAUGGCCCAGCCCUGGCUCUGUAGAAGCAUUGCCAUUUAUUAGGAAAUAAUUUGUGCAUCAACUGCAAAAUAAACACAGAGGCUGUUUGGGUUUCCUUUCCAUUAAGCAGGCCAGAAUGACUCCAAAAACUCUCCAUGCUUUGGGAUAUUUCUGAGUUCAUUAGAAAGUUAAAUAAAAUUUAAUAUUCUCUAUUAAAAUUAUUCCUAUAGUGCAUUAUACAAGCUUUCUAAUUUUUCCAGAAGAUUUGUCUCCAGUACUGGGAAAGGAUUUGACACAGCAGCCUUUGAGAGCCUUUUUCAAGAUGUGAUGAGAUGACAGUCAGCUUUCCCCCACCUUUGUCAGGAAAGAAAGGAUCUUCAGAGAUCUUUUUCCUGGUUCUGCAUACAUUUGAUAGAUUAAUAAAAGAGGCAACAUAAAAAUAUGUUCAGUGAUAACUUAUGGUAGAUGUUUAGACAACAGCCACAUUUUCUUUAAAAAAAUUGUAUUUUAAGAUUUUAUUUUGUACAUGUACUAACGCUAUACUCUGUUUAUCUUGGCUUUUUAGAGAACAGCUAAAAGUAAGUCUCAUAGCUGGGAAAACUCUGUAUCCUUUUUCAGCAUGUAUAAGGCUAAAAAUACUUAUCUGUCAGAUGGGCAGUCUUCCUCCUUCUGCAUAAGUUAAAAAUUAGAAGUCUGACUUUCUCAUGGAUAUAGGAGCUGGCAGAGAGUUUCUAAGCUACCAAGUCAUCUCCAUCACAGAUACCUCAGUGUAUAACCUGAGCAGACUUUCCCUGAUAAGAAACUGAUACUUUCUUUCUUUCUUUCUUGCAGUUUUGAACAGGAGACUAAACACAUCAUUGAAGACAAGUUGGUUCUUUUUUCUGAAGUCUGUUUCUACUUAUUUAAUCCAUUUUAAGUAGGCCUUCCCAGUUGACAAGGAGCUGGCAAAUGGGUCUGUCGUCCAGCUGUAUUUUCAGUGGCUUUUCUACCAAAGGUGUGGGGCUCAGCUUAUUUAAGUUGGAAAGGUUUGGUUGCCUUUAUACAUGAAUGACUGAUUCUGCCAUCUUUAGAGGUUAAAUGUCACUUUAGUCUUCACAGGUAGACUGGAAGAGAUAAAGGAGUCAAGAUGCCAUUGCAGGAAGGUAUGUCUCACCAAGCAAGAGGAUGAGAGUUCACUAAAUAUUUUCUGCAAAGCAGCCUCUCCUUCCUCUCUCCCCACUGUGUCUUCACUGUGCCUUUACAUGUAGACCUCUAGACCCUCAGUCUUUUGAAUUCUCUGUCAGGUUCAAUGUUUGUGUUCAAUUCCUUGGAGAAGCAUCAGGCAUUGCUCUGCCUUGAGAUCCUGCCAGUGCUCAAAGCCUUAGGUCCAUCUGGAGAGAGAAAAUGAGCAGCAUAAAUUCCCAGCUUGUGUAUUAGCUAAAAAAGUUGUUAAUCUCUACUAUUUCUGCAUUUGGGAUCCUCAGACUGAGUGUGGGCUCAUUAGUCUGUUGAAUUAUAUAUCAGAAGUAAUUUCUUUUCCUGGGAAGUGAAUCCUACAUAUGUGCAACUCUAUUCCAAAAUGGAUUCCUCAUGUCUCAGACAUUGCUGUUGCCGUAGAUAGUCUUCAGAAAAACAAAUUGUAUAAUUAAAUUCACCAUUGGUUUUGCCCCCCAUCUAGAAAUGAGAGGAGAUCAUAGAUUUAGCACAUUUUCUGAAUGCUGAGAUUCAUAUGCAGAAUGUUGAAGGUUCAGCAGCUUUCUUGAGCAGCCACUCUCUUGUGCUGUCCUUAAGCAUCCUGGCUUGAUGCAUUUUUCAUUUUCCAAUGCAAUUGCACCUUUCUGUGCUGGUGCUUCAGCAAAUCCAUUAUAUCUCCAAAUCUAACACAAGGGUUAUUUUUAAGUUUUCAGUUACAGGAAUAUUAAUACUAGGCUUGUUUCCUUAACAGUCUGUCACAUGCUGUAGACAAGGAUUGUGAUGUUUGAGAUGAACACAGCACAAACUGCUGUGCAGAUCUGCCCACCUCAGUAGAAGCCAGAUGAAUGGCACUGUUUCAGGCAUGAACCAGAGCAGUGGGAAAAUGGCCAUCAAGAGUUAAGGGUUUAUUGGUAUAAUGAAGGGUAGAUUUUCUCCCUUCCCUUCCAAUCCCUUUCAAAGAAGUCUCUGAGCAGAAACAGAAAAGCUUGCUGUCCACCACCAUUUACUGUGUCAUUUCUUUUCAGAGAUUUCUGUGCUGCUUUUCCUCAUGUCUGCAGUUAUUCCAUUUAUCCCUGUUUUUAUGGUAUGACCCCAUUUGUAAUGCAUCUGUUCUUAGUUAUUCUCCAUUUUUCACUCUUCUAAACUUCACUGUAUUCUCCUAGAAAUUGCCUUUUUGUUUUUAAGCUCCUGUCUGCCUCUCAAGGCUUCUGUAUUUUUUGUUACCCUCUUUCUAUGGAGCAUCUUUGUUCUCACUGUGUAUCUUAAGCCCAGUUUCUUCAGCAGUUUCCUUCAUCUCACUGCUGCUGGACUUCCUACAUCUUGUCUCCAGUGUGUUGUCAUUUUAAGUCAUAGAUAGAAGGCUGAGCCACAAGGCUGCAGGAACUGUGGGCUUCCACACAGAAGUGCUGCAGCAAAAUACAUACGUCCAAUUCCAGACCAGGCUGGCAACCUUCUGAUAUAUUUAGGGGUCUGGAGAAAUACUAUGUCCCAGAGGCACUUAAAUAGCUGGAUGUUGUAUGAAGUUUGAGUUGGCUAAUAAUGGUUUUGUAUUGCUUUCUGCCCCUUACACAGCCUUGGUGACAGGUAGAGGUCUUGUCUGAAGGGCAGGAUGGCUCCAGAUGAGUUGGGGCAGUUAGUUGGGUAUCAUUUGUGCAAGUGUGCUCUAUAUUUUUCCUAGAAGCACUGCUUAGUAUUUCUUAUAUUGCUGAAUUGUGUUCAGCAGUAAUAAUAUUGGAGUAUGAUUAUGAUACUCCAAUAAUAGUAAGCAAUAGGGAGUUCUUUACUUAAUCCCACCACAUUCUUAAGUUAUCUAACUUCAGUUUGCAUUCUACUCCUAAAACUCAGACUGACUCAACUUUACCUCUGCAAGCUCUACCUUGCACAUAACUGUCACACAGAACUAGUAUGAAUGACGUAAUCCCCCAUUUAAAUCUUCAAUCAAGUUUAGCUGUAAAGGAUUACAAUUCACUGGCUAAACUAAUUUUACACUUUAAUUUCAGGAGUUCAAGAGAAUGGUGGGAAUCUUCAAAGAUUUUGUCACUUCUCUGAACUCAUUCUUCAGGAUCUCAAUGUACCAGUUUGCUGAAGUUGCUGCUCCCAGAGACUCUAAUGGUACCAGAUGUAUUCCUUGUUAACUUCUGUUUGCUCCUUUUAUAAUGAAUUUAACAUUACUCUUUAAGAGCACACUUUUGCAAUCAUAAAUAUGCACUUUACUGUUUGUACAAUCAUGGUCUUGGAAGUGAUAAGGGACAGAGAUGUUCGCUUGAAACAUUUCUUAUAGAAUAAACAUUGGCAGCCAAAGGUGAAGAUGAGCUUCUCUGUGCUUCAUUAGUAAGAUGUCCUGGAAAAGGGCACUAAGAGCUCCAGAACUUGUGAAAAAUAGUAUUCUUGGAAGUAAAUGUAAGAUGUCAUCUACCUGAUGGGUUUAACAGCAGGAGAGGCAUCCUAGGGAGUGCUGCAGCCUUGAAGCAUUGAUGCAAACUGGUGGUGUUGUCACAGGCAACAGAUGAGUACCAGUGCUCACCAGGAAUGGACCUGUGCACUGAAUUAAACAUGGCCAUUGUGAGUGUCACCAUGCCUGUAGUGACCUGCUGCUCCUCUAUGAAUAGCAGACAUGAAAACAGCCAUCCCCAAAGCCUUUCCAUGCUGAAAGCCUUUGGGUUUUUUCCAACUGAUUGAAUUCCCUUUACAUCUCGCUGGACGUUCUUUUCUCAAUCUCUCUCCCUGCCACCCUGCAGUCAUAUGAAUUUAGGUGCGUGUAGAGCUCAUGAUCAUCACCAAGGAAGGACCAAGAUCUGGGAGAUUAAGCCUUUUUUUCUGGGGGUUUUUUGUCCUGGGAGGACUGGUCUCUAUGAAGGGAAAUGUGUUAUUCCUCAAACUUUGAUUUCUCACUUGCUUUUUAGGUAGUGAAUUGAGCACUGAUGGCAUUGCUCUUUAAAAGGAAUAUCCUGUGUUGCAGCCUUGCUGCAGGACUUCAGCUCUUACACCCUGGUGUAUAUACAGUGCAGGACUAGGAGCAGGUGAGAAUGCAGUGGAGGUUGUACCUCAGACUUAGUUGAGAGACUUACCCAAGGGUCACCAGAUUUAAGGUUUUUCAGAAAGACAAGGAUAACACUAAUGGAGUCAGUGCUGUGAACAUAAAUUCUCACCAAGCACUACAUACAUAUUAAAAGUAAAUUCAUUUAUGUAGCGCUUUAACUACUGUAUAAAUUCAACCUCGAAUGAAAGCCCCGUGUCGGGGGUUAGGUGUCCUUCCUUUUGCUCCUUCUCACCUAUAGAAUUUUUCCCCAUUAGUUGCAGGGAACUCUGACUGCUGGGUGCUUGAGAACAGUUUGGCUGAGCUCAGGGAGAAGGGGGUCAGGUAAAAGGG
Non-coding RNA from Cyanistes caeruleus (blue tit), 8226 nucleotides. Lineage: Eukaryota; Metazoa; Chordata; Aves; Passeriformes; Paridae. The record is from RefSeq and is a predicted model, not a curated record.